Non-coding RNA from Oryza nivara, 195 nucleotides. Lineage: Eukaryota; Viridiplantae; Streptophyta; Magnoliopsida; Poales; Poaceae. The record is from Rfam.
UAUAAGUGUAACUGUGAGUUUCCACGUCUAAAUUUAAUCGUCUGUCUUAUUUAAAAUUUUUUUUAUAAUUAGUAUUUUUAUUAUUGUGAGAUGAUAAAAUAUAAAUAGUACUUUACUCGUGACUUAUAUUUUUAAUUUUUUUAAAUAAGACAGACGAUCAAAAGUUGUGUGUGGGAAACCAUGGCUGCACUUAAA